UUCCAGACUCCUACGGGAGGCAGCAGUGGGGGAUAUUGCACAAUGGGGGAAACCCUGAUGCAGCGACGCCGCGUGGGUGAAGAAGCGCCUCGGCGCGUAAAGCCCUGUCAGCAGGGAAGAAAAUGACGGUACCUGAAGAAGAAGCCCCGGCUAACUACGUGCCAGCAGCCGCGGUAAUACGUAGGGGGCAAGCGUUAUCCGGAUUUAUUGGGUUUAAAGGGUGCGUAGGCGGACAGUCAAGUCAGCGGUAAAAAUGCGGUGCUCAACGCCGUACAGCCGUUGAAACUGGCAGUCUUGAGUGGGCGAGAAGUAUGCGGAAUGCGUGGUGUAGCGGUGAAAUGCAUAGAUAUCACGCAGAACCCCGAUUGCGAAGGCAGCCUUCCGGCGCCCUACUGACGCUGAGGCACGAAAGUGCGGGGAUCGAACAGGAUUAGAUACCCCUGUAAUA
Molecule: ribosomal RNA, 448 nt
Filed under: uncultured bacterium
Lineage: Bacteria
Description: bacterial SSU rRNA
Rfam family: Bacterial small subunit ribosomal RNA
Source: RNAcentral